AACCGGGUCUGGAAAAGGUAAACCCGGAAACCCAAAUGGAAAAUAGAAGCUCUCUGAAAAGCCCCAAACUCUGCAGACACACACACACAGACGGAGAGUGUCUCAUUCACAUGCUUCUCCGAUCUCGCCCGUGAAAAUUCAGUGAUAUAAUCAUGCCAGACGUGCAUACUCUUGUGAAUGAUUUCAUUAUCAAGCUGAAAAGCGUAAAAUCGAGGGCUCGCAGGCUACGGCGAAGCAGACGGCUGAGUUACUUCGCUCGGUGAUUUCGUCGCAGCGUGUGCCCUACACGAAUCAAGCUGGAGCCUUGAUUGAUGCUGUAAAGGCUGUUGGGGAGCAGCUGAUUGCUGCAAAUGUGGAGCAUGCUGUGGGUAAUAUUGUGAGGCGCGUUUUACACAUUAUCAGAGAGGAGGAUCUUUCUCUCACCACGCUGCUAUGGCUGGGUUGAACUUGUCAACUGUCAGUGAUGAUGAAGAUGAUGUUGACCGCGACAACUAUCCUGUUCUAUCUGCUGCGGUAGUUGCAGCAGCUGCAAGAAGCACACUGCGUCCGCCUUCCUUGCAAACCCUUCUUGAAGACAUGCCUGAUGCAGCAGCUAUCCCUCACACUUCUUCAUCUGGGGGUGAUUCAGAAGGAAAAAGCACAUCUGCUGAUAAAAGUUCUAGGAGCCGGAAGCUGAAGCAUGAUGUCAUUGAAGCAGUAAAUGAACUUAUUCAAGAUAUUGGCACUUGUCAUGAACAGAUUGCUGAGCAAGCAGUAGAGCACAUUCACCAUUUAACUAUGCUCCUAGCCUUUACUAUUUAACUAUGCUGCCCGUUACUAAUUCUCGUAUUUUCUUUCAAAUAUAGAAGCUUUAUGAAGUCAUAUAUAAGCUCAAUUUUCCCCUUCAUAGUAAUUAGAGUGGUGUCGAUUUUUUGUGAGUGAGACAACUGUAUAUUUACUAUAUACUAAUUCUCAGUUAACUGUUCAUCGGCUUAGUAACAGUGCCGGGUCGAGCCGAGCCGGUUAUGUGAAAAUACCAUUUUGCCCUUCAUUCUUUGCUUAAUUGCGAUUUGCUGUUUGUCCUAGGUAUAAAAGCCGUUGGGGUCAGAGACGCGAUCUUUCUUUCUCUCUUCGUUCCUUCUCUUUGUUUUUGUCUCAGCUCUGCGUUUUUGGGUGAGAUUUAGUAGAUAAUACAACAUGAUAUACGUUUGGCCUAGGUAUAAAAGGUCUUGGGGUGAUUGACGCGAGCAUUUCCCUCUCUGUUUCUCUCUUCGUUGUAAGCUGUCGUCUCCGUAUCUGGAGAUUCUUGGGUGUGUGGCUGAUUUGGGCGAAGGGACAGAUUCUUUUGUGGUUCUUGGGAGUUUCUACAUGACUGAAGGGAAUAAGGCUUGAAGCUUUACAAACAUUGCAGCCUGGAGUGAGAUUUUUUGAUAUUUUUUUUCCCAUGGUCCACUGUAGACUGUUGAAUCAUGGAAGUAAAUUCCUUUCAAAAAUAUCAAUCUAUGAACAAUGUCAACAAUAUUGAAACGAAGUGCCUUCACGACUUAUACCUUCUCUUCUAAUACAAUUUCCCUCUCAUUUUCAGCCUGAACAAAACAUAGAGCAUACAUUGCUUCGUCACAUAAGACCGUAUCAAAUUACUUUCAAAAUCAGAGUUCGUGCAUCCAGACUGUGGAGACCGAAAAAGUAUAACAGUGACAUAUACGAUGGCCUCCAUUAUCUGUUAGUCGACGAAGAUGCAAGCUUUUUACAAUUACCAUAAUUGUUUCAAAACUCUUAACAUAACUUUCUUCAUUUCUAAGUCUGUGCAGGGACAUGCUAUUCACUGUUUAAUUGAGGAAUCUGCUUAUCCUUACAUGUCCAAGAAAAUGGAAGAAGGACAGGUGUAUGACAUUACCAAUUUCUAUAACCGAAAACCUGUAUAAAAAUAUAAACUUACUGAUCAUGUGGUAGAACUGUGUUUCAAUGAGUCAACAAAGUUUGAGCCUGUAAUGGAUGCAUUCCCUCCAAUCCCAGAACAUUCAUUUACCUUCCUUCAUUUUGACAACUUGGAGGACCAGAUGAGGACUCAGACAGUACUUAAGGAUGUUUACGGUUGUAUCAAAUCACUCAUACCAGAACAUCAAGUUACUGUCAAAGACACUGGAAAAUUGGAAUCAAAAUGUGAAAUCUUUGUAGAAAAUUUGAGGAGGGAGGAUAUCAGAAUUACCUUCUGGGGUGACAUAGCUAGAGAGUUUGAUAUGGAAAGAGUUAAACAGUUAUCCCCACCGGUGCUAGCUGUAUUCACGAGUUAAGGUUGACCAAAUUCCAAGAACCGGUAACAGCAGCAACAACAGGCCAUACAUGCAUCAUGAUCAAUCCAGAUAUUCCAAUAGCAAAUGAAUACAAAGCUGAGUCAGUCAUUUUUAUUAUAACAUUGUUGUAUCAAUCAAAUCAUUCAUCUAAAGUCAAAAUUCCAGCAUUGGCAUUUCAAAAUAUUAAUCCCAGUGUAAACAAAUUCCAGGUUCUCGAAAUCAGGUGACAAAGUGAAAAGUACCUUUCAAACGGCCAACAACAGAAGAGAUGAUAGACAAAACAACAAAGUCGGUCUUUGAAUUAAACACAUUGGAUCCAGAUAUAUACAUGUUACAAAGUUUAUGUCACCAUUCGAGAUGAUAAUAAUCAAGCAACACUCAUUCUGAUGGGGAGACGGGCAGAGCAGCUAUUUGGCAUCAAUUGUCAAAAUCUGGAGAACAAAAGACUGUAUCCAACAUAGCAGACACUACAAGAAGAGAUUAAGAAGACAACUGAUGAAACCUAUCUCCUUGAAAUCACAGUCAAUCAAUAUGCCGAGCUGAUGGUCAGAAACAUUUUCCCAAGUAAGCAAUCCUUUGCAUCGAUGGUGGAACAUAGCCCAACCACUGUAACACCGAAGCGGCUUCCAACUGAAAGAAAAAGAAACAUUGAAGCAAGUGGAAAAGCUUUGUGCAUCGUAGAGCCUGAGAAAAAAGCCAAGAACAAGAAGGAGACCAAGCGUGGAGCAAUGAUAUCGGCAUCAUCAGUGUACACCUGCAACUUAUUUGAUCUAAUUAUACCUGCGCGGACUCCAUUUUGUGUACAGCUAUAGUCAGCGAAACAACUGGAUCUUUUGGGAACUGGAGGUAUUAAUUUUUUGGUCAAACUCCAGUCCAACUUUUUGGUAAUUAGCUCAAGUUGUUUCAGCAGUGAUAACAGAUCUAAUGAUCUUUGAACAAUGGAAGCAGUUAAUUUUUUGGACAACCAGUGCCAGCUACUCUGGCUGGGUUAUACUAGCUUCCUUUGAAUCAAAUACUCUAUCAGUACUGUAUUGACUUAACUAUAUGUAGUAAUUUGUGAGUAAUGUAUAAAUUCCAUUUCUUCAUAAA
Rosa chinensis is the source of this 3362-nucleotide long non-coding RNA. RefSeq lists it as uncharacterized. The transcript is spliced from 13 exons. The record is from RefSeq and is a predicted model, not a curated record. NCBI's taxonomy places the organism in Eukaryota, Viridiplantae, Streptophyta, Magnoliopsida, Rosales, Rosaceae.